This is a non-coding RNA of Gossypium arboreum, 107 nucleotides long. NCBI's taxonomy places the organism in Eukaryota, Viridiplantae, Streptophyta, Magnoliopsida, Malvales, Malvaceae. The record is from Rfam.
AUUCCAUGACUAGGGCAUCUUCCUAAUAGUUCAUUGAACCUUUCCCGUGCCUCAUACAAGGACUCAUCAUCCUUCUGUUGGAAGGUAGUGAUCUCAUUCCUCAACUU